CCUACGGGGCGCAGCAGUAGGGAAUCUUCCACAAUGGACGAAAGUCUGAUGGAGCAACGCCGCGUGAGUGAAGAAGGGUUUCGGCUCGUAAAGCUAUGUUGGGAGUGAAGAAAGAUAGAAGUAGUAAAUGGCCUUUAUUUGACGGUAAUUACUUAGAAAGUCACGGCUAACUACGUGCCAGCAGCCGCGGUAAUACGAAGGUGGCGAGCGUUGUCCGGAUUUAUUGGGCGUAAAGCGAGUGCAGGCGGUGCACUAAGGUUGAU
RNAcentral lists this ribosomal RNA (263 nucleotides) under uncultured bacterium. Its description in RNAcentral is "partial 16S ribosomal RNA". It matches the Rfam family "Bacterial small subunit ribosomal RNA", at positions 338 to 593 of the family's 1533-position model. The record is from RNAcentral.